This 1423-nucleotide ribosomal RNA is filed under the name uncultured bacterium. RNAcentral describes it as "16S ribosomal RNA". It matches the Rfam family "Bacterial small subunit ribosomal RNA". The record is from RNAcentral.
AGAGUUUGAUCCUGGCUCAGGAUGAACGCUGGCGGCGUGCCUAAUACAUGCAAGUCGAACGAAACUUCUUUAUCACCGAGUGCUUGCACUCACCGAUAAAGAGUUGAGUGGCGAACGGGUGAGUAACACGUGGGCAACCUUCCCAAAAGAGGGGGAUAACACUUGGAAACAGGUGCUAAUACCGCAUAACCAUGGUUACCGCAUGGUAACUAUGUAAAAGGUGGCUAUGCUACCGCUUUUGGAUGGGCCCGCGGCGCAUUAGCUAGUUGGUGAGGUAAAGGCUUACCAAGGCAAUGAUGCGUAGCCGAACUGAGAGGUUGAUCGGCCACAUUGGGACUGAGACACGGCCCAAACUCCUACGGGAGGCAGCAGUAGGGAAUCUUCCACAAUGGGCGAAAGCCUGAUGGAGCAACGCCGCGUGGGUGAAGAAGGUCUUCGGAUCGUAAAACCCUGUUGUUAGAGAAGAAAGUGCGUGAGAGUAACUGUUCACGUUUCGACGGUAUCUAACCAGAAAGCCACGGCUAACUACGUGCCAGCAGCCGCGGUAAUACGUAGGUGGCAAGCGUUAUCCGGAUUUAUUGGGCGUAAAGGGAACGCAGGCGGUCUUUUAAGUCUGAUGUGAAAGCCUUCGGCUUAACCGGAGUAGUGCAUUGGAAACUGGGAGACUUGAGUGCAGAAGAGGAGAGUGGAACUCCAUGUGUAGCGGUGAAAUGCGUAGAUAUAUGGAAGAACACCAGUGGCGAAAGCGGCUCUCUGGUCUGUAACUGACGCUGAGGUUCGAAAGCGUGGGUAGCAAACAGGAUUAGAUACCCUGGUAGUCCACGCCGUAAACGAUGAAUGCUAAGUGUUGGAGGGUUUCCGCCCUUCAGUGCUGCAGCUAACGCAAUAAGCAUUCCGCCUGGGGAGUACGACCGCAAGGUUGAAACUCAAAGGAAUUGACGGGGGCCCGCACAAGCGGUGGAGCAUGUGGUUUAAUUCGAAGCUACGCGAAGAACCUUACCAGGUCUUGACAUCUUCUGACAAUCCUAGAGAUAGGACUUUCCCUUCGGGGACAGAAUGACAGGUGGUGCAUGGUUGUCGUCAGCUCGUGUCGUGAGAUGUUGGGUUAAGUCCCGCAACGAGCGCAACCCUUAUUGUUAGUUGCCAGCAUUAAGUUGGGCACUCUAGCAAGACUGCCGGUGACAAACCGGAGGAAGGUGGGGAUGACGUCAAAUCAUCAUGCCCCUUAUGACCUGGGCUACACACGUGCUACAAUGGACGGUACAACGAGUCGCAAGACCGCGAGGUUUAGCAAAUCUCUUAAAGCCGUUCUCAGUUCGGAUUGUAGGCUGCAACUCGCCUACAUGAAGUCGGAAUCGCUAGUAAUCGUGGAUCAGCAUGCCACGGUGAAUACGUUCCCGGGCCUUGUACACAAGGCCCGUCA